GACGAACGCUGGCGGCGUGCUUAACACAUGCAAGUCGAACGGUAAGGCCCUUCGGGGUACACGAGUGGCGAACGGGUGCGUAACACGUGGGUGAUCUGCCCUGCACUUCGGGAUAAGCCUGGGAAACUGGGUCUAAUACCGGACAGGACCACUGCCUGCAUGGGCGGUGGUGGAAAGCUUUUGCGGUGUGGGAUGGGCCCGCGGCCUAUCAGCUUGUUGGUGGGGUGAUGGCCUACCAAGGCGACGACGGGUAGCCGGCCUGAGAGGGUGACCGGCCACACUGGGACUGAGAUACGGCCCAGACGCGUACGGGGGGCAGCAGUGGGGAAUAUUGCACGAUGGGCGCAAGGCUGAUGCAGCGACGCCGCGUGGGGGAUGACGGCCUUCGGGUUGUAAACCUCUUUCAGCACCGACGAAGCGCAAGUGACGGUAGGUGCAGAAGAAGGACCGGCCAACUACGUGCCAGCCGCCGCCGUAA
Molecule: ribosomal RNA, 478 nt
Filed under: uncultured bacterium
Lineage: Bacteria
Description: partial 16S ribosomal RNA
Rfam family: Bacterial small subunit ribosomal RNA
Source: RNAcentral